Molecule: ribosomal RNA, 484 nt
Filed under: uncultured bacterium
Lineage: Bacteria
Description: partial 16S ribosomal RNA
Rfam family: Bacterial small subunit ribosomal RNA
Source: RNAcentral
AUUGAACGCUGGCGGCAGGCCUAACACAUGCAAGUCGAGCGGAUGAAGGGAGCUUGCUCCUGGAUUCAGCGGCGGACGGGUGAGUAAUGCCUAGGAAUCUGCCUGGUAGUGGGGGAGAACGUCCGGAAACGGGCGCUAAUACCGCAUACGUCCUGAGGGAGAAAGUGGGGGAUCUUCGGACCUCACGCUAUCAGAUGAGCCUAGGUCGGAUUAGCUAGUUGGUGGGGUAAAGUCCUACCAAGGCGACGAUCCGUAACUGGUCUGAGAGGAUGAUCAGUCACACUGGAACUGAGACACGGUCCAUACUCCUACGGGAGGCAGCAGUGGGGAAUAUUGGACAAUGGGCGAAAGCCUGAUCCAGCCAUGCCGCGUGUGUGAAGAAGGUCUUCGGAUUGUAAAGCACUUUAAGUUGGGGGGAAGGGCAGUAAGUUAAUACCUUGCUGUUUUGACGUUACCAACAGAAUAAGCACCGGCUAACUUCGUG